RNAcentral lists this ribosomal RNA (492 nucleotides) under uncultured bacterium. RNAcentral's name for it is "partial 16S ribosomal RNA". It matches the Rfam family "Bacterial small subunit ribosomal RNA", at positions 29 to 507 of the family's 1533-position model. The record is from RNAcentral.
AGUGAACGCUGGCGGUAGGCCUAACACAUGCAAGUCGAACGGCAGCACAGUAAGAGCUUGCUCUUACGGGUGGCGAGUGGCGGACGGGUGAGGAAUACAUCGGAAUCUACUUUUUCGUGGGGGAUAACGUAGGGAAACUUACGCUAAUACCGCAUACGACCUACGGGUGAAAGCAGGGGAUCUUCGGACCUUGCGCGAUUGAAUGAGCCGAUGUCGGAUUAGCUAGUUGGCGGGGUAAAGGCCCACCAAGGCGACGAUCCGUAGCUGGCGUGAGCGGAUGAUCAGCCACACUGGAGCUGAGACACGGUCCAGACUCCUACGGGAGGCAGCAGUGGGGAAUAUUGGACAAUGGGCGCAAGCCUGAUCCAGCCAUACCGCGUGGGUGAAGAAGGCCUUCGGGUUGUAAAGCCCUUUUGUUGGGAAAGAAAAGCAGCAGGUUAAUACCCCGCUGUUCUGACGGUACCCAAAGAAUAAGCACCGGCUAACUUCGUG